UAAUCUGAUGUUAUUAGCUACAUUACCUUCUAUAUUUAGUAGAUUUGAUAACUUUAUUUAGUGUUCAAUAUUUGUUUUAGGGUUUAUUUUAUGUUUUUUUUUGGAUUUUGAAUUGAAAUUGAAUGUUAUUUUUUGGGCUGUUUUAGUCCUUUUUUUGGGACUUUUAAUUCUUUAUUUAGACACUUCAUGUUGAUAGGGAAAAGGAAUAAGGGACAAUGUACUGUUGAAUUGAUUUGCCACUCCAUACUGUUGAAAUGGUGAUAAGAAUGAGUAAAUGGAUCAAUACAUUAUAUCAUUUGGGCUUAAGACACUUGGGUUUUGACUUGAUGGCUUAAGCAAUAGAUUUGAUUGGAUUUACGGGUUUGAAAUCUGUGGAUCCAAAGCACAUUUGUUGCUUAUCAAAUAUUAAACUAGCUUAAAUUGUCAAUUCUCAUUCUUUACAUCCAGGGAUUACUAAGUCCACUUUUUACUUUCUAUUGAUUUAAGACUUACGAAUUCUUCAAUUCGAAUAUUUUAUGCAAGCAUAUAACCAGAUUUUGCUUUAAUGUUAUAGUUCUAGAAAUUUAUUAUCUCAAAUCCAAGCAAUGACUGAUCAAAAUUAGAAUUUGAAUGCUAUCAAAGUGAACAAUUUCAAGAAUCAGAUCAACUUCUUCUCCUUACCAAGGAUGAAAUAUCUGUGCAUUUUACGUGGUAUUUAUUUGUGAUUGGUAAUACCUUUUUAUAACGGGUUACUAGAGCAAUCUAUUCAAUAUGUAGAUAUAACAAUAACCUAUUUAUGGAUAUCUUUUUGCAAACAAAAUGGCGUUUAUCGCUUAACUAGGCAGCUUUCAAACAAGACAAAACUCAUACACAUGGACAAAGUUCAGUUGAAACAGGAAAACCAAUCACACCUACAGAUCUACACUCAGUAACUCAGGAUGUGAGAAUGGGGAUGGCUAGGUGCUCAGAUUUUUCCAUCCACCAUUUGAAUGAUUGUCAGAAGUUCAUGGGAGGACGUUCGGAGUGUGGACUUUUCUAACCUGCACUCUUUGCUAUCUUUGUGCAUUUAACCUAAAUGACAGGCCUUUGUAUUUGGCAACCUUGUUAUCGUUCGUCUAUGCAUUCGGUCAUUUCUUGACAGAGUUCUUGAUCUAUCAGACAAUGGAAAUAAAAAAUCUGGUCACCAUUGGUAUAUUUGCAGGUUUUACAUACUAGUACUAUUCACCAUGUACUAACGUCCCUUUUGCUCGGGGCCUGCACUUCACGGUGUAGAUACGGGUUUUCAGGAGCAUACACCUGCGCAAUAGGAUCACUUCAGUUAUCAGCUUAUUGGACCUGCUGCAGCAACCUGUUAUGCUUUUUAUCAACCAAGAAGCAAAACGAAGUGGGAUAAAUCCCCAAAGUAUUGAUGAACCUAGUCCCUUGGAUUCUUUUGAAGGGAGCGGGGCUCUUCUAAAUAUUGUCCUAGAUCAGAAGCAGUCAAAUGUGGACAGGUGGUAUUGUCUCCUUGUUGAUGUCUUUUAGUUAGUUUCCUUGAAGUCUUAUUAACUUCCUGCGUUUCAACCACAACCCUUCAUGGUUUUCUGAUUGGUGGAAGAAAGUAGAGAAUGCUGUACAAGGUUUGCACCUCGACGUAUCGAGAGAUACUGAUUUGUCUAGGGUUGUAAAAGGGGUUGCAAGUGUCAUCAAGGAUGGUCAGGGCUUCAAGUCUUCAUGCCUGUUAUAUCUGGAUGAGUGGAAGCAACUCAGGCAAACAAUUGAGGAAGUAUGUGUUACUGCUAGAGACUAUGUUGAUGUUUGGGCGGAUGCAAGCAAGAAAAUGGGGAAGAGAAGAGUAUUCUCAGAGUUUUUGAAGCUCUUGGACACCGAACAUUGACCUUUUUGAUUAAUGUGCUUUUGGAUUCUAAUUCUGCUAUGUUUAAAUGGAUAUGUAUAUUAUGUUUAAGGGUUUGAACGUAGUUUUAAUUUGAACUACAAGUUCUUUUAAUUUUAAGAUGUUUAAGUGUUUGAACGUAGUUUAUGAUGUUUAAGUGUUUAAAUGGACAAUGUUUAAGUGUUCAAGUGUUUGAACAUUGUU
Lycium barbarum (goji berry) is the source of this 2056-nucleotide long non-coding RNA. RefSeq lists it as uncharacterized. The record is from RefSeq and is a predicted model, not a curated record. NCBI's taxonomy places the organism in Eukaryota, Viridiplantae, Streptophyta, Magnoliopsida, Solanales, Solanaceae. The transcript has 5 exons.